This 395-nucleotide ribosomal RNA is filed under the name uncultured bacterium. Its description in RNAcentral is "partial 16S ribosomal RNA". It matches the Rfam family "Bacterial small subunit ribosomal RNA", at positions 523 to 918 of the family's 1533-position model. The record is from RNAcentral.
AUACGAAGGGUGCAAGCGUUAAUCGGAAUUACUGGGCGUAAAGCGCGCGUAGGUGGUUCGUUAAGUUGGAUGUGAAAGCCCCGGGCUCAACCUGGGAACUGCAUCCAAAACUGGCGAGCUAGAGUAUGGCAGAGGGUGGUGGAAUUUCCUGUGUAGCGGUGAAAUGCGUAGAUAUAGGAAGGAACACCAGUGGCGAAGGCGACCACCUGGGCUAAUACUGACCUUGGGGUGCGAAAGCGGGGGGAGCAAACAGGAUUAGAUCCCCUGUAGUCCACGCCGUAAACGAUGUCGACUAGCCGUUGGGAUCCUUGAGAUCUUAGUGGCGCAGCUAACGCAUUAAGUCGACCGCCUGGGGAGUACGGCCGCAAGGUUAAAACUCAAAUGAAUUGACGGGG